This 403-nucleotide ribosomal RNA is filed under the name Fusobacteriota bacterium. RNAcentral's name for it is "Fusobacteria bacterium partial 16S ribosomal RNA". It matches the Rfam family "Bacterial small subunit ribosomal RNA", at positions 355 to 776 of the family's 1533-position model. The record is from RNAcentral. Lineage: Bacteria; Fusobacteriati; Fusobacteriota.
UGGGGAAUUUUGCACAAUGGAGGAAACUCUGAUGCAGCGACGCCGCGUGAGUGAUGAAGAUCUUCGGAUUGUAAAACUCUGUCCUUAGUGAAGAUAAUGACAGUAACUAAGAAGCAAGCCCUGGCUAAAUACGUGCCAGCAGCCGCGGUAAUACGUAUGGGGCAAGCGUUGUCCGGAAUUAUUGGGCGUAAAGGGUACGUAGGCGGUUUAAUAAGUCCUAAUUAAAAGUCUAUGGCUCAACCAUAGUAUGGUUAGGAAACUGUUGAACUUGAGUAGAUGAGGGGAAAGUGGAAUUCCAUGUGUAGCGGUGAAAUGCGUAGAUAUAUGGAGGAACACCAAUGGCGAAGGCAACUUUCUGGAAUCAAACUGACGCUGAGGUACGAAGGCGUGGGGAGCAAACAGG